Molecule: ribosomal RNA, 301 nt
Filed under: uncultured bacterium
Lineage: Bacteria
Description: partial 16S ribosomal RNA
Rfam family: Bacterial small subunit ribosomal RNA
Source: RNAcentral
CAGUCGCCACGGGAAUACGUAGGGUGCGAGCGUUAAUCGGAAUUACUGGGCGUAAAGCGUGCGCAGGCGGUUUUGUAAGACAGGCGUGAAAUCCCCGGGCUCAACCUGGGAAUGGCGCUUGUGACUGCAAAGCUAGAGUGCGGCAGAGGGGGAUGGAAUUCCGCGUGUAGCAGUGAAAUGCGUAGAUAUGCGGAGGAACACCGAUGGCGAAGGCAAUCCCCUGGGCCUGCACUGACGCUCAUGCACGAAAGCGUGGGGAGCAAACAGGAUUAGAGACCCCCGUAGUCCCUGUCUCUUAUAC